This is a transfer RNA of Moniliophthora roreri MCA 2997, 103 nucleotides long. It matches the Rfam family "tRNA". Rfam says of the family: Transfer RNA (tRNA) molecules are approximately 80 nucleotides in length. Their secondary structure includes four short double-helical elements and three loops (D, anti-codon, and T loops). The record is from Rfam. Lineage: Eukaryota; Fungi; Basidiomycota; Agaricomycetes; Agaricales; Marasmiaceae.
GGCCUGAUGGUCUAGUAGUAAGAUGCCUCGUUCGGGUCGCUGAAUACGGUCAAUGGUUGAACCCCACUCGAGGAGAGCCUGGGUUCAAAUCCCAGUCAGGCCC